This 6494-nucleotide long non-coding RNA is filed under the name Marmota monax (woodchuck). Lineage: Eukaryota; Metazoa; Chordata; Mammalia; Rodentia; Sciuridae. The record is from RNAcentral.
CAGAGCUAUUGGAAUCUUUAAGGUACUAAGGAAAUGAAUAUUGAGACUGGAUGAAUAGGAGGAUCCAGGAAAAUAUUAGUUUUCACUUGGGACCCCUGCAGGAUGCCACUGCAGGAUGGUAAGGGUAAGUUGAAGCAGAGAAGACCUCAUGGAGAGUGGAAAUGAGGCUGUACAAACAGUCCCUGACUCACAAUUGUUUGACUUACAUUUUUCCCCAUUUUACAAUAGUGCAGAGGUGCCAUGCAUCUAGUAGAAACUACAUUAUUUUGAAUUUUGAUGUUUUCACAGGGCGUGGUACUCUUGUGAUUCUGGGCAGCAGCAGCACACGAUGGAGAGGGGCCACAGCUGAUGCUCUGUGGUGUGUUCCUAGGACAUGAUGUUUAGUAGGUGAGGUGUGUUAAAUGCAGUCCCACUUACCAUGGGUUUACGGGGACCUGGGCCCAUCAUGGGUCAAGAAGCAUCUAUAUUUAUUCCAAUCCCCACCUGAAUUGUAGUGGUCUGUUCCUAACCCAGCUCCACAUCAGGAGCUAAAGAGAACCCUCUCAGGAAGGAGAUAACAGGAUCCAGAGCCUCUGUAACUUCCCAUGGGUACAAAUGUAUGUGAAUUGACAACAUUCAAUAAAAAUGUAGCAGCAUAGCAAGAGAUGGGAUAUAUCAAGAGUCUGGAAAAAGAGAAGAAAAGACAAUGGAAACAUACCUCCAAAAAUAGGUGAAUCCACCAGGAAGAUAAAACAAAUGGUCUGCUCCUGGUAAAACAGGUCUUCAAGAAAUUGUUAUGUUGGAGAAGCACAGAGAGGGGUGUUUCUUGAUGAUAAAGUGGACUCUAGACAACAGAUCUGGGCCCUGCAGAACCACAGCAUACAUAGGCUAAGGAGGUAAGGAGGGAGACAGCUUAGGGACACUAUGGAUUGUGAGAAAUGAGUGUCCUUCCCCUCAUGCUAAUUCCCUUAUAUUAUUCUCAGAUCUUAAGCAAGGUGUUUUGAGCAACACUACCUGAAUAAGUUUAUGCUUUGGGAAUUAAAGGAAGAGUUGUGUCAGAGUUCCUACAUGAGGUGUCCUGAGGGGUUUACCUGUGUGGAAAGGAUCACCAAGAUGGCACAUGGAAAAUGGUGGAAGGCAUCAUAAGCAGGCACACGUGGUAGAUUCCUUGGUAAAGGACUAGACUUCUGUAGUCAGGUCACAUAGAGUCCUGGGUUCUGAUAUUUGAUUAUGGCCUCUAAGAGGCUGAAAGCUUGGAACACUUGGGCUUCUCUUAGUCUGAACAUCAUGUUUACUUUUUUGGGAAGAAUUUUCCAACUAUCAAGUAAAAAGAUUGCCCCAAAGGAGAUAUGAUCCCACUGUGACCAAGCAGGAGUUGAUGGCUACAGAUCCUGAGGAAGGACUUCCUAUUUCAGAGGGAGAUUUCUCAGGCAAGCCUGUUCUAUCCACAUGCUGGACAUUAGUAGAGUUCUAAUCUUUUAAACUAAAAAUGAGAAAAUCAUUCUGUAAAUAUGAAAAGGAGGUUAACUGUGUGGCUUGAGGAGAACUUCAUGAGAGAGUCACUCUCUGCCUGCUGUGACUUGGAAAGUCUUGCAGUCCAGGGCUGCUACUCAAUGGCACUUGGGGCAAAAACAAAAGGCAAGAGCAGAGGACCCAGGGGCAGCUGAUAUUCUCUAGGGACUCAAGCCAUGCAUUCAUGCUGGCAUCAGAGAGAAGCCUGCAAAAGGAUACAUAUAUCCCAGUUUGGGGCAAUAACGGAGCAGCCUUAUUGCUCCCAUGUACAAGGCUCCAUUUGAAUACAUUCUGAUUUCAGAGGUGGUAAUAUUAUUUUAAAGUGUGUCUUUAAUCACUGUCUUCAGAGGCCUAACCUAUUCUUUUGAGAAAAAGCAAGUCAACAACUAAUUGAGUUAAUAUUAAUGGAAAGAAAAUUUAUCUACCAACAACCACAUUAUUGAAAAGCAUGGCCCUGAAUUUCUAAAAUGUCUCUUCAGGAGAGUAGAAACUCUUUUGACUUUAGCUUUUUCUCUCAUACUGAGUGUGAUUGCUCCUCAUGAUUUUGCCACUACUAGCUGGAUCCACAGAGACCUUCACUUUAACCUGGCAUUACAAUGGAGCACUGUUAAGUUUUGUGAAAUGAAUUGCCAACCUGCAUUGAAUUACUCGUAGAAGGGUUGAUACAGCUACACAGAACUGUCAAAUUGAGGAUGUAUUCCAAAAGGGAAUUUUAUCAAAACUGUAUUUUAGGUUUAAAAAUUAGAUUUUUUUCUUGCUGCUGGACUACAGUAAACUAGGGAUGAUUGUUUAUUUCCUUGAAAAUAAUAAUAAAAAACAGAUCCUGGGUGGUUUUCCCUGGAUGGUGUGCCCACAGCAAAGUUUGAGGGUGUUAUGAUUUGGGUGAGAGGUGUCCCCCAAAAGCUCCCAUGUGAGACAGUGCAAGAAGAUUCAGAGGAGAAAUGAUUGGUUUGUAAGAGUCUUAACCCAGUCAGUGAAAUAAUCCCUUGGUAGGGAGUAACUGAGUGGUAAAUGAAGUGCUGGGGUGUGGCUGGAGGAGGUGGGAAUUGGGACAUGGCUUUGAGCAUGUGUUUGUAUCUGGCGAGUGGAGUCUCUCUCUGCUUUCUGAUCACAAUGAUGUGAGCUGCUUCUCUCUGCCACCCUCUCCUGCCAUGAUGCUCAGCAUCACCUGGAGCCCUGAGGAAUGGAGCCGGCCUUCUCUAGACUAACACCUCUGAAACUGUGAGCCCUCAAACUCUUCCUCCUUUAUAAUUGUGUUGGUCGGGUCUGUUAGUCAUAGCAGCAAAAAAGCUGACUACAACAGAGGGUACUCUUUGCCCAGGUCCUUUUGAAUUUCCAUAAUGAAUCAAGUCACCCAACCUCCCAAACUAGGAAAUCAAGAUAGUAAAAGUUAGUCACUCUCUGCAAUCCCAUUCUGUUCCAUCAAUUGACAGGCCCUAACAAAUUGGAAAAAAUUAAUUUUGUUUCCAUGCAUCUUCUCUCACUCACUUUCCCAGUCUUCCUUGAUGUUGACUUUUAUUCUCAGUCUAGUUUUCUUGACUCUCUGACAUCCAGAGUCACUGGCAUUCUCCUCUGAUCCCUUUAUGUCCACUCCUCAAUAAGGUCAAUUCACCUGUCCUACCCCUAGACGCACCCCCUGCUGGUGUAAAUGGUUUUGAAGACUUACAGUGAUGAGAUGUGUUCUCCCUGCCAGGAAAUAUUUCUAUUUAACAGAAGAUCAAUGGAGUAAUCCAAUGACUCUCAGCCCUACCUGAAGAGAAGAAUUUCCUAGAGCAAUUUUUACAAUUAUCAAAUUCCAAGGCCUCAUUCAUAGGUACUCUGAUUUAGUGCGUCCAGUACUUUUUUAAAAUCCUCUCCAGGUGAAUCUGUUGUCAAGAGGUGGGUAGGAAAUCACUAUUACCCCAAGGGAAGGAGAAGCAGGGUGGUUACAGGACUAGGUGGAGGCCUGCUUAGAAGGCUGCCUCAGAUCUGACCGUGUUGGUGACGGGCUAGGGGGCUAAACACCUACCUGUAUCCCCUUGUUAACUAAUAGGAGGAAUUUCCCACAAGCCUCAUCUAAUCAGAGAAUAGAAAUUAUUUUCCUCUGAUGAGCUGCCCACACCAAGAUCUUUCAGAUGCAGCUGGUCCCGUGACACAGCGCCUCCUCAGAGAUCUUCCUUCCCAGUACUUGGCCAUUUCUCCUCUUGUCCUCAGAGCCCAGACACAUCCAUCUUAUGGGGCCCCCAAAGAAACAAAUGAUAAAACUUUUUUUAUAUGUUUAUCCUCUUUAUUCCAUUAAAGUAUAGUAUAGACACCUGUCAGAGACAGAGAACAAACGAUGUCACUUGGCACUCCUGCAGAGCAGACAGAAGACUCUAAUUCCCAGCAUCUAUUUCCAGGGGCAUCUAUAAGGAUGUGCAAGUAGACCACACUCUUCUCUGUCACCGGCCAUCCUUGGCAAUAGCAGGAUUACCUCUGACAGGAGAUGCCCAGGAAAUUGUCCUUCUGCUUUGUACAUUGGCCUUACUAUCAUGUAAAAGUAGAACAGGGUAAGGCUGAACUGUUUUACACAUCAUCUGAAGAAAUUUUAUGCUCCAGAUUUACUUCCUAAUUAUAUUAUUUAUGUCCCAAACUGAUAGCCUUUUAAAAUUGCCAUUAUACAAGCAUCUUGAGUCAGUAUAAAUUGCCAGUGUUUGGUGAUAUAGCAUACUGCAGUCUUAGAAUGUUUCAUAGCAGGUUAACAUGCUCAAUGGCCCUGGUUAGGAAACUAGGGCUGGUGUUAAGUGGUCUUUGUUAAGUCCAUGUAGCCAAAGAGCCUCCAUAUGUAGGCACUAAGAACAGGAGCUUCCAGAAAACAAGGAAAGAUAAUCCAAAGGCAAGGAAAAGCCAGAGGAUUUUGAAAACAGGUAAGACAGACCAGCCAAUCACUGAUUACCUCUUUCACUGGCAUUUUCCCACUCAAGGAGACAACGGUGUGAAGUGGCAGUGAACUAGACUCACUAGUCAUAUGGAAACUACACAUUCCUUAGCAUAGUCACAUGAAUGGGACAUCUUGGAGACAUCUGAAUGUCUUCCCAAGUUGUCCUUUCCCUGUGAUGCUUACUCUGGACUCAUGAUCUUUGAGAACACAAGGAGAAGGCCAGGUCCUUCCCUGGCCAGCAAGCAAUCCUUUCCAUGUCUCCACAGUUUCUGUGGCUUCUGGGCUGCCACUAGGGACCCCUCCCACUUUAAGAUUUAGAUUUAUGAGGAAAAAGAAAGGUCUUGAAGUCUGUAUGGCUUUUCCCACCUUUGACCUUGACAUUGAUAUGUGGGUCUUUGCACUUAGAAUAUCAAUUUGCACACAAAUGGGGGAAAUUAAAGCAAAUGUCAAUUUAAUAUUCAUUAAAAUAUCUAGAAGACCAGUUAUUGCCCUUUACAAUUAGGACAAAUGACCAGAUUUGGUGUUCCACUCAUUUUCAUCCAUCAGUGUGGGCUGAAAUGCAUCUUUUUGAAUGACCUUUCACUUUUUCCAAAGCCUAAAAAUCUUUUGCUCAUCUUUAAAUGUUUUAUGAAUUUCUGAAAGUACCACCUCAUAAAGAACCUUUUAUAUGUUCCUGCUGUGCUGUAUCUUGUUAUGGCCAUGCAGUUGACUUGGUGCCAGAAACUGUCACAAAGAAUAUAUGCCUGUAUCUUCUCUUAAAAUUUGUAUAUCCGAGCUGGGUGAGUUUGGGUGACUGUAAGUGCUAAGAAUAUUGGUUUUAAAAAAUAACUCUGAUAAUGGCAAUAAAUUGUCAAACUCUUGAGCCUAAUUAAAAUCAACAGAAUGACAAACGUGACCCUUGCACUGUCUCAUGGCUUGGGCCUGCAAAGGCAUCCAAACAUGAUAUGUGUUGUGACGAAGGGAUUUCCUGGGUGAGUGUAUUUAUUGUUCAAUCUGUCCACUUUUCUUCCACCCUCCCUGAACAUCAAGAAAGGGGAGAAGCACACUUAAAUUACUCCUUUCAUGGUUUAAACUGCAUAGAUGCUCUUCCUGGGCCUUCCUCGUGGAUUCUCAGGGUCUAACUACUGAAGAAGAGCAGGUCUGAGAACAGCCACUCAAUCAUCUCCGCAGGUGACACCAGUGGGCUGCAGAUGCACCAGGCCAUCGCCCGGAUCAUCUCCCAAACACUGGCCUCAGCCCUUAGCGCCUUGUUUGCUUUGACCUCUGACUUAUGCUAUUGGCCUGGCUCUUUUGCUUACAAGCACUUCGGUUGUUAAAGGUUUGUUAGGUGUUUCAGGGAUGCACAGGGAGAGGCCAAGCUCCAUUAGAGAGCUUCAGGGAGGAUAUUCUAACCAAGUCUAAGGGAAAGGACAGCAGCAGAGUCUGUUUCCAGCCCCAAGAAGUGAAACACCAAGUGUCAUUGUCCUUACUGCCAGUGAGAUAUCAGGGAAACCACUUCCCAGAAUUCCAGCUCUUGACAUCCUACAUGUGUCCAUCCAAUGGCAUCUCAUCAGCCCUUCCUGUGCUCAAGUGUUGUCAUUUUGUCCUUCUAAUUACCAAGCUCUUCUUUGUUUUCUAUUUGAAUUUCCUUCCUCUGUGUUUCCUCAGCUGAACAUGCCAUCAUUUAAAAAUGCUCUUUGGAAGAUAAGGCAUUCAUCACAUGGGAGGGAGCAGGGUCUGUGUAUGAAUUACACACUCCUGGCUUUUCUAAAUAAUAAUCCUCGAAAUUUGAAUAGCAGGUUGAAAAUAACAUUCAACACAUGAUUGGAUGCUCACCAAAAUGUUACAAAAUAAACAUGGGAAACCACUGCAGAACCUGAGCUCCAGGUAGGCCUGUCCAGGUCCUGUUGCUGCCUGGUAUCGCCUUUGCCUGCUCCUUCAGUUGUGCCAGCCUCCCAGCAUAAGGAGGCACAAUCAUCUGACCCGUCAGCUCUGGUUCUGACACCCUGCUGAAGGCCCAGGAGCUGAAACAGUAGAGCUGUAAGUUACUAUGCCAGAGAUGUUCGGUUUUCUUUCUCUGAAACCUAUGAAAAUUUCUCAUUUUUGUAAGGAAUUAGAAUGUGCU